This 337-nucleotide unclassified non-coding RNA is filed under the name soil metagenome. Its description in RNAcentral is "partial contains 5.8S ribosomal RNA, internal transcribed spacer 2, and large subunit ribosomal RNA". The stretch from base 1 to 120 matches the Rfam family "5.8S ribosomal RNA", at positions 35 to 154 of the family's 154-position model. The record is from RNAcentral.
GAUGAAGAACGUAGCGAAAUGCGAUAAGUAAUGUGAAUUGCAGAAUUCCGUGAAUCAUCGAAUCUUUGAACGCACAUUGCGCCCCCUGGCAUUCCGGGGCGCAUGCCUGUCCGAGCGUCAUUUCUGCCCUCAAGCACGGCUUGUGUGUUGGGUGUGGUCCCCCCGGGGACCUGCCCGAAAGGCAGCGGCGACGUCCGUCUGGUCCUCGAGCGUAUGGGGCUUUGUCACUCGCUCGGGAAGGACCUGCGGGGGUUGGUCACCACCAUAUUUUACCACGGUUGACCUCGGAUCAGGUAGGAGUUACCCGCUGAACUUAAGCAUAUCAAUAAGCGGAGGA